ACGGGUGAGUAAUAUAUCGGAACGUGCCCAGUCGUGGGGGAUAACUACUCGAAAGAGUAGCUAAUACCGCAUACGACCUGAGGGUGAAAGCGGGGGAUCGCAAGACCUCGCGCGAUUGGAGCGGCCGAUAUCAGAUUAGGUAGUUGGUGGGGUAAAAGCCCACCAAGCCAACGAUCUGUAGCUGGUCUGAGAGGACGACCAGCCACACUGGGACUGAGACACGGCCCAGACUCCUACGGGAGGCAGCAGUGGGGAAUUUUGGACAAUGGGCGCAAGCCUGAUCCAGCCAUGCCGCGUGCGGGAAGAAGGCCUUCGGGUUGUAAACCGCUUUUGUCAGGGAAGAAAAGGUUCUGGUUAAUACCUGGGACUCAUGACGGUACCUGAAGAAUAAGCACCGGCUAACUACGUGCCAGCAGCCGCGGUAAUACGUAGGGUGCAAGCGUUAAUCGGAAUUACUGGGCGUAAAGCGUGCGCAGGCGGUUAUGCAAGACAGAGGUGAAAUCCCCGGGCUCAACCUGGGAACUGCCUUUGUGACUGCAUAGCUAGAGUACGGUAGAGGGGGAUGGAAUUCCGCGUGUAGCAGUGAAAUGCGUA
RNAcentral lists this ribosomal RNA (594 nucleotides) under Pelomonas sp. StTD445. RNAcentral describes it as "bacterial SSU rRNA". It matches the Rfam family "Bacterial small subunit ribosomal RNA", at positions 102 to 692 of the family's 1533-position model. Lineage: Bacteria; Pseudomonadati; Pseudomonadota; Betaproteobacteria; Burkholderiales; Sphaerotilaceae. The record is from RNAcentral.